AGAGAGAGACAUGCGCGCAUAUCAAUAAGCGGAGGAAAAGAAACUAACAAGGAUUCCCUUAGUAACGGCGAGUGAAGCGGGAAGAGCUCAAAUUUGAAAUCUUCAAGGUUUUACCUUGACGAAUUGUAGUUUAAAGAAGUGUUUUCUGCUGGAGUUUUGGUAAAAGUUCUUUGGAAUAGGACAUCAUAGAGGGUGAGAAUCCCGUAUUUGACCAUUAUUUCCAGCUUUGUGAUACACUUUCAAAGAGUCGGAUUGUCUGGGAAUGCAGUCCAAAAUGGGUGGUAAAUUUCAUCUAAAGCUAAAUAUUGGCGAGAGACCGAUAGCGAACAAGUACCGUGAGGGAAAGAUGAAAAGAACUUUGAAAAGAGAGUUAAACAGUACGUGAAAUUGUCAAAAGGGAAGCGUUUGACACCAGUGUUGUUUUCUCGAAAAUCAAUUAAAAAUGGCUCGAUUUUGUAUUGCUGAGACCUUAAAAGCUCACUGUACAUUUUUCGUGUCUUUUUUAAUGCACUUUUCGUUUAACAAGUCAACAUCAGUUUCUUUUGUUGUAAAAGGGUCAUUGGAAGGUGGCUUUCUUUUCGGAGAAAGUGUUUAUAGCCUUUGGCCUCUGCAAUCGAGGAGACUGAGGUCUGCAGCGUAGACUCUUCGGGGUUAGAUACAUUUGUGCUAAGUUAUAGCUUUUUAUAGACAACUUGUUGACUAUAAUUAGUCUUGUAGCUUACUCGCUUAUGCUAUUUUACCUACGCUUAGGAUGUUGAAGAUGUAGCACAUCAU
Molecule: ribosomal RNA, 774 nt
Filed under: uncultured Neocallimastigales
Lineage: Eukaryota; Fungi; Neocallimastigomycota; Neocallimastigomycetes; Neocallimastigales
Description: partial large subunit ribosomal RNA
Rfam family: Eukaryotic large subunit ribosomal RNA
Source: RNAcentral